AUAAUAACUAUUUAUUUAUAGAUUUUUUAAUGUAUUCAUCUUUCUUUUUUAUACUGAGUUCUUAUAUACUGAGUACCUAAACAUUUCAUAUAAAUUUGUAUUUUAAGAACUUUAUCAUCGAAAUCAUGACUCUGACUCAGAAUAGAAAAUCAUACAUGCCCCCACAUAUUUCUGUAUUCAUACAGUUAUUUACUCUCAAUUUAUUCAACCAGUAACUGUCUAGUACCCACUAUGUAGAAGUAAAACAUGAACUUUUCUUAAACAUCUUAUGUGCCAUCACAUACAUGAGAAAGUCUGUCCUGGGUAAUUACAAAACAAAUAUAAAGCAUGCCGUGUUCUAGCAAAAGGCACUGAUCAUGUGAAACUUAAAACCUGAA
This 377-nucleotide long non-coding RNA is filed under the name Bos taurus (domestic cattle). RNAcentral's name for it is "long non-coding RNA NONBTAT011167". The record is from RNAcentral. Lineage: Eukaryota; Metazoa; Chordata; Mammalia; Artiodactyla; Bovidae.